GGACGCGUAGCUCAGCUGGUUAGAGCGCUACGUUGACAUCGUAGAGGUCCCCUGUUCAAGUCAGGGCGCGUCCA
This 74-nucleotide transfer RNA is filed under the name Parcubacteria group bacterium CG1_02_40_25. RNAcentral's name for it is "tRNA-Val". It matches the Rfam family "tRNA". Rfam says of the family: Transfer RNA (tRNA) molecules are approximately 80 nucleotides in length. RNAcentral also lists the same sequence under 2 other names. The record is from RNAcentral.